CAGCAGCCGCGGUAAUACAGAGGGUGCGAGCGUUAAUCGGAUUUACUGGGCGUAAAGCGUGCGUAGGCGGCUUCUUAAGUCGGAUGUGAAAUACCUGAGCUUAACUUAGGAAUUGCAUUCGAUACUGGGAAGCUAGAGUAUGGGAGAGGAUGGUAGAAUUCCAGGUGUAGCGGUGAAAUGCGUAGAGAUCUGGAGGAAUACCGAUGGCGAAGGCAGCCAUCUGGCCUAAUACUGACGCUGAGGUACGAAAGCAUGGGGAGCAAACAGGAUUAGAUACCCCUGUAGUCCCUGUCUCUUAUAC
RNAcentral lists this ribosomal RNA (301 nucleotides) under uncultured bacterium. RNAcentral's name for it is "partial 16S ribosomal RNA". It matches the Rfam family "Bacterial small subunit ribosomal RNA", at positions 509 to 807 of the family's 1533-position model. The record is from RNAcentral.